RNAcentral lists this long non-coding RNA (396 nucleotides) under Malus domestica (apple). Its description in RNAcentral is "long non-coding RNA (MDOM_LNC015444)". Lineage: Eukaryota; Viridiplantae; Streptophyta; Magnoliopsida; Rosales; Rosaceae. The record is from RNAcentral.
AAGUAUGAAUGAGAUUUAGGAAGUCGUUCCAAAUCACAUUCAAGAUAAUCAUAUAAGUAAAUGAAUCACAUUGGAUAGUAGACAUGAAUAAACUAUCAAACCAAACAAUGUGGUCAAGAGUAUUGUAUUAGAGAAAGACCGUAUUGCAUUGUAAUCCUAAACUGAAUAGGUUCUCCACCCCUUCUGAUUAGCUUGGGUAACCAUGAUAUGCUGCUAGGUAUCACUCAUGGUUUGUGGAAGCCCUAAACGUGUAUAAACACUAAAGGGAGAAUUGAAAGUAAGUUUCAAUUCACAAUCGAUUUGAAAGAGUUUUAAUCGCCCACUGCCUCACUAAAAGGAACCUAAUGGAUCGUACACCGUGUAAGGUAGAGAUUGAAGAAACAACGGAGAUGAGUA